UAAGAUCGUCUGGAGUUCAUAUAUCCGAAGGUGGAUCAGUUAGUGUGUUUUCAGAGGAGGAUGAAUUUUGUUGCCCAAAUUGUGUGUCAAUGAGUGACAAACAGGCAACCAAAAUUUGUAGUAAGUUAACCCCUUUAAGAUGUAAUCUCCCUACUUUAUUUUUUAAUAUAAUGUCAGGUUUAUUUACAAUGUCUAAUCCCAGAUGAUUUUGCCUGUCAACGAGUAAAAACCUUCCC
Paramuricea clavata is the source of this 236-nucleotide non-coding RNA. The record is from the annotation of a GenBank genome assembly. Lineage: Eukaryota; Metazoa; Cnidaria; Anthozoa; Malacalcyonacea; Plexauridae.